This 324-nucleotide unclassified non-coding RNA is filed under the name Hevea brasiliensis (rubber tree). The record is from RNAcentral. Lineage: Eukaryota; Viridiplantae; Streptophyta; Magnoliopsida; Malpighiales; Euphorbiaceae.
CCGGAAUGGCUCGCGACGGGACGGUGGUGCCGACGGCCGCGGUCGGCGAUGUGCUGAAGAAGAAGACCGCGGCGUCGCGGAGCUGGAUCCUGCUCGACAGCACCGGCGGCGAUGGCACGGUCCUCGACGCCGACAAGUACGCGAUCAUGCACCGCGUGCAGAUUCACGCUCGUGACCUCCGCAUCCUCGAUCCCCUCCUCUCCUACCCCUCCACAAUCCUCGGCCGCGAGCGCGCAAUCGUCCUCAAUCUCGAGCAUAUUAAAGCGAUAAUAACGGCGGAGGAGGUGCUGCUUAGGGAUCCGACGGAGGAGAAUGUGAUUCCGG